This 220-nucleotide ribosomal RNA is filed under the name uncultured bacterium. RNAcentral describes it as "partial 16S ribosomal RNA". It matches the Rfam family "Bacterial small subunit ribosomal RNA", at positions 524 to 749 of the family's 1533-position model. The record is from RNAcentral.
UACGGAGGGGGUUAGCGUUGUUCGGAAUACUGGGCGUAAAGCGCACGUAGGCGGAUCAGAAAGUUGGGGGUGAAAUCCCGGGGCUCAACCCCGGAACUGCCUCCAAAACUCCUGGUCUUGAGUCGAGAGAGGUGAGUGGAAUUCCGAGUGUAGAGGUGAAAUUCGUAGAUAUUCGGAGAACACCAGUGGCGAAGGCGGCUCACUGGCUCGAUGACGCGGG